RNAcentral lists this ribosomal RNA (425 nucleotides) under uncultured bacterium. RNAcentral's name for it is "bacterial SSU rRNA". It matches the Rfam family "Bacterial small subunit ribosomal RNA", at positions 355 to 772 of the family's 1533-position model. The record is from RNAcentral.
UGGGGAAUCUUGCGCAAUGGCCUAACGGCUGACGCAGCGACGCCGCGUGCGGGAGGAAGGUCUUCGGAUCGUAAACCGCUGUCAGGAGGGACGAACCUCACCGGGAGGCAAUGCCUGGUGGUUGACGGUACCUCCAGAGGAAGCACCGGCUAACUCCGUGCCAGCAGCCGCGGUAAUACAGAGGGUGCGAGCGUUGUCCGGAAUCACUGGGCGUAAAGGGCGCGUAGGCGGCCUGGUAAGUCGGGGGUGAAACGCUGCGGCUCAACCGCAGCACUGCCUUCGAGACUGUCAGGCUUGAGCACGGUAGAGGCUGGUGGAAUUCCCGGUGUAGCGGUGGAAUGCGUAGAGAUCGGGAAGAACAUCGGUGGCGAAGGCGGCCAGCUGGGCCGUUGCUGACGCUGAGGCGCGACAGCGUGGGGAGCAAA